CCCUUAGAUGUUCUGGGCCGCACGCGCGCUACACUGACGAAGUAAGCGAGCAUGUCCUACGCCGACAGGUGCGGGGAAUCUUGUCAAACUUCGUCGUGAUGGGGAUUGAUUAUUGAAAUUCUUGAUCAUCAACGAGGAAUUCCUAGUAAGCGCGAGUCAUAAGCUCGCGUUGAUUACGUCCCUGCCCUUUGUACACACCGCCCGUCGCUACUACCGAUUGAACGGUUUAGUGAGGGCCUCGGAUUGGUCUCGGCCCGCUCUUUACCGGGCGGCGCCGUUGGUCGAGAAGACGCUCGAACUUGAUCGUUUAGAGGAAGUAAAAGUCGUAACA
Molecule: ribosomal RNA, 331 nt
Filed under: uncultured eukaryote
Lineage: Eukaryota
Description: partial 18S ribosomal RNA
Rfam family: Eukaryotic small subunit ribosomal RNA
Source: RNAcentral